AGCAGCCGCGGUAAUUCCAGCUCCAAUAGCGUAUAUUAAAGUUGUUGCAGUUAAAAAGCUCGUAGUUGAAUUUCGGGAUUAAUAUGUUGGUCGUGCCUUGGUACGUACUGGCAUUAUUGAUUCCUACCUUCUGAAGAACCUCGAUGUCAUUAAUUUGGUGUCUUGGGAAAUCAGGACCGUUACUUUGAAAAAAUUAGAGUGUUUAAAGCAGGCUCGCGCUUGAAUACAUUAGCAUGGAAUAAUGAAAUAGGACGUUUGAUUCUAUUUUGUUGGUUUCUAGGAUCGACGUAAUGAUUAAUAGGGAUAGUUGGGGGCAUUAGUAUUCAAUUGUCAGAGGUGAAAUUCUUGGAUUUAUUGAAGACUGACUACUGCGAAAGCAUUUGCCAAGGAUGUUUUCAUUAAUCAAGAACGAAAGUUAGGGGAUCGAAGACGAUCAGAUACCGUCGUAGUCUUAACCAUAAACUAUGCCGACUAGGGAUCGGAUGAUGUUAAUUUUUAAUGACUCAUUCGGCGCCUUAAC
RNAcentral lists this unclassified non-coding RNA (520 nucleotides) under uncultured Glomus. RNAcentral describes it as "SSU rRNA". It matches the Rfam family "Eukaryotic small subunit ribosomal RNA", at positions 569 to 1092 of the family's 1831-position model. The record is from RNAcentral. Lineage: Eukaryota; Fungi; Glomeromycota; Glomeromycetes; Glomerales; Glomeraceae.